AAAGUCUACGUCUUUUAAAAAAUAGUUGGUGUAUUUUCAAAGCAUUUGGAUGCUCGGAUUAUAUCCGUUCUUUGAGAUUUGCAAGGCGCUUUUCAAAACAUGAGUUGUAUAGUCAAGUUUGUAAAUAAUCUGUGGAAAAGAAUGUUGCAAAAAUUCUAUUUGACCUCCUGCACCUGCUUGGCCCUGGUCUCCUUUGACACGUAUUAUGUCCUCUCUGGCCAGGCUAUUUGCUUCUCCUUCUGUGGCAGGGCAAAUCUUUUUUUGCUUUUCCAUCUCAAGCCAUGAGAGUUAUGACAGGGGUGGUUGGGUCUUAGAAUAAGAUAGAGGAGGACACAGAAGAGCACAUUAUGUGCUCUCUUAGUGUAUCUGUGGCUGGAUUUUAGGUGGAGAGAGAAAGUGAAGAGAUUUGGGCUCACAGGUAAGGCUACAGAACGGUGCCUGGGAAGGUUGGGAGGCAGCUGGGCACACUCAUAUGGUGAUGUGGAUGACCAUCGUGCUGCAACCCAUCUUGUAUUGUGGUGCUGUCUUGAUGUUUCUGUCUUCCCCACCAUACUCUAAGCUCUUCUCAGGAAAAACCCAUUUGUCAUUUUGUAGGUUUAAAAAAAGGUCCAAUACCAGCAAUUCAAAUGGUUAGAACUGAACAUAAUGCACUGCGUGAGCCAGGGACAGACUGGAUUUUCCCCACCAUCUCUGUCCCUCCCCAGCAGCAUUGCCUUGGGCAAGUCUCUUAAUCUGGAUGAGCCUUAUUUUCUACACUUAUACCGUGGGGCAAAACAUACACUUCCUCCUAGGGCUGCUGGGAAUAUUAAAUUAUUAAUAAAUAAUGCACGUGUAUUUGUGCCUGCCAUGUAAUAAAUACACUGUAAGUCGUGCCUAUGACGUUUCUAAUUUAUUGUUUCAGUUUCUGAAGCCUAGCACCAAUCCUGCUUAUACUGGGUGCUCAGUAAUGUUUGUUAAAUACAAAACAGCUAAGUUGAAGCCUAUGGUUGUGUUAAAUGCCCAACGAAUACUUACUGCAUGAGCGAGUGGUUCUUGUCCCAGAUCAAAUGGCCCAGAGACCCACCUGGGAGUUACUCAUCUCACAGUUAGCUCUGAGAAUUGUAGCCUGCGGGAGCUCCACUUCAAACAGGGAUUCUCAUGAAAAGCAAAUCAAAAGCGAAUUUGAAGGAGAGGCAAAAUACAUUGUUUCUUAUUAGGCCUGCUGUUUGAUUUUCAUUAGGCAUCCUGCCUGAUUCUUAUUAGGACUGCCCUGAUUUCUUUUAGGUCCUGGUCAUUUAGGGUCAGUGCUCAUGUGCUUUAUAAAUGAUGUCAUUAUUUGACUUUAUUACAUACAUGAUGUAGGUAAUGAUUCAGGGUUUAUUCCACAAAAUAAUCCUAAGCACCUAAUGCUGAUUGGUUUAAUGAUACAAAAACUAAUUUGGAAGGAAUGGAAGGUUUCCUGGGGCACAGCUGAUGAUGUGAAUGUGAAAAGGCUUCAUUUCCCACAUUUAAAGAAUGGAAACAACAUGCAAUUACGUGUUCUUCGAUGAGGUGUUUUCUUUGAAAUGGUAGAACUUGGAACGUCUCCAUAUGAGAAAGGUGGAAAAACUUAAGUAACUGUGCCAAGGUCAGUUUUCCUUUUUUAUUUCCUUUAUUAUUGUUAUAUUUAUUCUUGGCUAUAAACAUAUGCUUUCUCAUUUUUUUCUCUUUCUUUUAAUAUGAAAACCUAAUGGGGAGACUGAUGAGAUUGGCCAAGUCUGUGAAAUUAAAAUGAAUUUUGUAAUUUUGUUUAUCAGCUUGGGGUCAAUGACAUGGAAAUUCUGUAAGUUAUAAAUGUAAAUAUGAACAUGAAUUCCAUGUGCUGAAUUCACUCAUGCAGAAGGCGGGCCCAUUCCCACUCUGCGCCAUCACCCACCUCCCAACAGUUAACAAUUAGCUAGUUAAAUAAGCCACCUUGGGGUUCUGUGUGUCUGUGCUACUUGGCUCCCUGCGGUGCUUAUCCAAGCUCUUUAUGAAAGAUUUGUGCUUGGAUCUGAUUCUCAUGAUACAUUAAUAAAGGUGAAAACCGGUCUUUUUUUUUUUGGUGUUUUUCUUUAGGAUGGGAUGUGAUAGGAGAGCACACGGAAUGACCCCGGUCACCCACCAUAGAAAUCAGUUCAAGUACCGACUUCAGUAGUGAGCUUUUAAACUGGUCUUAAUUAGAUGACACUAGGGGGACGAAAACAGCACAGACACCAAGACCAUCAAUAGAACUGAAACAACGCAAGAUGGCAAAUCCAGAUCAAACCUAAAGCAGUUGAUCUUGGCAACACCUCACAUGUAACCCAAGACCAAAAUAGUUACAUUCGGA
Molecule: long non-coding RNA, 2329 nt
Organism: Equus caballus (horse)
Lineage: Eukaryota; Metazoa; Chordata; Mammalia; Perissodactyla; Equidae
Source: Ensembl